Molecule: ribosomal RNA, 1232 nt
Filed under: Micrococcus sp. 3313O2
Lineage: Bacteria; Bacillati; Actinomycetota; Actinomycetes; Micrococcales; Micrococcaceae
Description: bacterial SSU rRNA
Rfam family: Bacterial small subunit ribosomal RNA
Source: RNAcentral
CCAGCUUGCUGGGUGGAUUAGUGGCGAACGGGUGAGUAACACGUGAGUAACCUGCCCUUAACUCUGGGAUAAGCCUGGGAAACUGGGUCUAAUACCGGAUAGGAGCGUCCACCGCAUGGUGGGUGUUGGAAAGAUUUAUCGGUUUUGGAUGGACUCGCGGCCUAUCAGCUUGUUGGUGAGGUAAUGGCUCACCAAGGCGACGACGGGUAGCCGGCCUGAGAGGGUGACCGGCCACACUGGGACUGAGACACGGCCCAGACUCCUACGGGAGGCAGCAGUGGGGAAUAUUGCACAAUGGGCGCAAGCCUGAUGCAGCGACGCCGCGUGAGGGAUGACGGCCUUCGGGUUGUAAACCUCUUUCAGUAGGGAAGAAGCGAAAGUGACGGUACCUGCAGAAGAAGCACCGGCUAACUACGUGCCAGCAGCCGCGGUAAUACGUAGGGUGCGAGCGUUAUCCGGAAUUAUUGGGCGUAAAGAGCUCGUAGGCGGUUUGUCGCGUCUGUCGUGAAAGUCCGGGGCUUAACCCCGGAUCUGCGGUGGGUACGGGCAGACUAGAGUGCAGUAGGGGAGACUGGAAUUCCUGGUGUAGCGGUGGAAUGCGCAGAUAUCAGGAGGAACACCGAUGGCGAAGGCAGGUCUCUGGGCUGUAACUGACGCUGAGGAGCGAAAGCAUGGGGAGCGAACAGGAUUAGAUACCCUGGUAGUCCAUGCCGUAAACGUUGGGCACUAGGUGUGGGGACCAUUCCACGGUUUCCGCGCCGCAGCUAACGCAUUAAGUGCCCCGCCUGGGGAGUACGGCCGCAAGGCUAAAACUCAAAGGAAUUGACGGGGGCCCGCACAAGCGGCGGAGCAUGCGGAUUAAUUCGAUGCAACGCGAAGAACCUUACCAAGGCUUGACAUGUUCUCGAUCGCCGUAGAGAUACGGUUUCCCCUUUGGGGCGGGUUCACAGGUGGUGCAUGGUUGUCGUCAGCUCGUGUCGUGAGAUGUUGGGUUAAGUCCCGCAACGAGCGCAACCCUCGUUCCAUGUUGCCAGCACGUAAUGGUGGGGACUCAUGGGAGACUGCCGGGGUCAACUCGGAGGAAGGUGAGGACGACGUCAAAUCAUCAUGCCCCUUAUGUCUUGGGCUUCACGCAUGCUACAAUGGCCGGUACAAUGGGUUGCGAUACUGUGAGGUGGAGCUAAUCCCAAAAAGCCGGUCUCAGUUCGGAUUGGGGUCUGCAACUCGACCCC